ACGUGGAAUUACAAUUCUUCAGAAAAUCAUCCUUCAGCUACAUGCAAAGAGAAUAGCAGGAUACCAAAACCAAUAUUUUAUUAGUUUGGGAUUAUUCACCUUAUUUUAAGGUAAUAUGCCUUAUUUUAAGGUGAGAUUAUUUACCUUACUUUAUUAGUAUUUGAUUAGAUCANNNNNNNNNNNNNNNNNNNNNNUUCCAUUAUUAUUAUUUUUAAAAUUGAUUAAUAAUUUAAUAUCAACUUAGCCAAUAGUAUUUCUAGCUCCUAGUAUAUACCAGGGACUUCAAGUGUUAUAGAUGAAGAAAACAUGUUCCUUGGCCUUGAUGAAGAAGAUAUAGUGGACAUUAUAAGAUCUGAUACAUAUAUGACUAUAUAUAUAUAUUUGUGUUGGUGAGAUACUAAGAUAGUAAAGAAUAAGAUGCUAAAAGAAGGAGAAAUCAAGCCAGUGGAGUGACUUGAUUUCUCCUGACUUCCCUGACUUCCCUUCAAGUCAGGGAAGACUUGAAGGAGGAAGGAGGCAUCAUUUGAGCUGACUCUUGAAAUAUAACUAGAAUUUUGUCAAAAAAAAAAAAAAGUAAAAAGCCUAAAAAAAAAGGAACAAUUUGAAUUGCAAGUUAUGUGGCUGGAGGACAGGAACAGCACAAUAAUCAAAGCUAGAGCUGGAAGAUGGCUGAGGCUAUAGAUGCUAACAAGAGGUGAGCAUGUGCAACCCAGGAAAAGCUUUGGAAGAGAGGGAUGACAGGGUGAGGGAGGCUCUAUACAGCUUAACCUGGCAUGUGGGGUGCUUUAUAGGGGAGAAGGGAGCAGAGAGGCCAAUGGGGGCCUGACCUAGAACAAUGACAUCAGGAAGGGGAAAGAAAUUAUAUGGAGGUAUGCUAAUAACCACAAUAAGGGGACUGAGCAUCAGUCAGCAACUAGUUACAGCAGAGAAGAAGGAAGGAGUCAAGGAAGCCUUCAUGUCCAGUCUGCAGGUGACCAAGAGCACGUCCCUACAGGCAGCGGGACCCGGGAAAACUGGGAGAGGAAUUGGUUCAAAAGGGAUGGUUGCGAGUUUGGUUUGAACAUAAA
Molecule: long non-coding RNA, 1067 nt
Filed under: Capra hircus (goat)
Lineage: Eukaryota; Metazoa; Chordata; Mammalia; Artiodactyla; Bovidae
Description: lncRNA (ENSCHIG00010002310.1)
Source: RNAcentral